ACAAAAGUCUCAUCCAUAGUCAUAAUAAGAUACAUCUCAUCAUCCAAUACUAAUAAGAGACAAUAUCUUAUACAUAGUCAUAAUAAAAGUCUCAAGUAUCAGAACACAAAACAUGGAAGCUCACGGUCGCCGAUCACCAUCGGGUUACAGUGACGAGUGAUGGUCGAUACCUCCACUAGCGAAGAGGGUUUCGACAAAGCCUAACCCGUCUUCUCGUUCAUGCGUCGGCAAGGUAGUUGGAGGGGUCUAAUAUACAUGUACAAAUGAUAUUUGUUGAGUUACAUCAUAAUAUAACUAACAACAAGUAAAUGAUGAUGAAUUUGCAUACCUGAUGUUCGGUAGAUGGAGAUGUAGGUGUAGGUGGAGGUGAAGACCAAGGAUAAUGAACGGGUGGUGGGGGGCACCGGGACGUGUAUCCCUUGGGCCUGUGCUAGUUGCUACAAAUUUGUCAAACUCAUUCACACACUAGGAGAUGGAUAUUUUGAAUGAAAAAAUAUAUGCAAACGUUAUCACUGAAAGUUUGCGUAUACCUGUUUUUAUAAGGAAGAUGAUAUUCCAAAA
RNAcentral lists this long non-coding RNA (561 nucleotides) under Zea mays. RNAcentral's name for it is "long non-coding RNA (ZMAY_LNC001832)". The record is from RNAcentral. Lineage: Eukaryota; Viridiplantae; Streptophyta; Magnoliopsida; Poales; Poaceae.